CGUUACAGGCCAUGUAGACAAAAACCUACCCUGAAUGAAAUACGCUGCUUUGGAACGAGGGAGUACCACCACAUGUUACCUAUAGUCAUUAUUACAUUUUAAAACGUCGUUAAAAUGUGUUUUUUAAAUACAUUUUUACGCUGGGAAUUGGGAGAAAAGAGUUUUACAAAUAAAGAUACGAAAUAGGUUCCCGUGUGUUUUAUCAUGCUACAGCUCGCAGCUAUAAAAAAAAAGGAAAUGAAAAUUCUCCUACACAGAGGAGAUUGCAGCCAUCCCAUUCAAGUAUCUUGAGAACCAAGAAGAAAAAAAAAAAGAAGGAUUUCAAUUGCAAUCACACCUCACAUUUAUACAGCGUAAUUCAAAACAUUUCAACAUUAGAAAUUGUAUAUCAAUAAAAGUUAAACAAAAAAACUUAA
Xenopus laevis (African clawed frog) is the source of this 416-nucleotide long non-coding RNA. RefSeq lists it as uncharacterized. The transcript has 2 exons. NCBI's taxonomy places the organism in Eukaryota, Metazoa, Chordata, Amphibia, Anura, Pipidae. The record is from RefSeq and is a predicted model, not a curated record.